This is a long non-coding RNA of Carassius gibelio (silver crucian carp), 1037 nucleotides long. RefSeq lists it as uncharacterized. The record is from RefSeq and is a predicted model, not a curated record. The transcript has 3 exons. Lineage: Eukaryota; Metazoa; Chordata; Actinopteri; Cypriniformes; Cyprinidae.
AAACAGAACAAAUAUCAUCUAUACUUUUCAGUCUAAUCAAAAACAAACAAAAAUAUAACCAUAAAUUCUUAAGGUGAGGUCACAUUUUCUACUGUUCUUUGAACUUUUCAUGGACAAAAAUCCAUUCAUUCCAAUAGGAAUCAACAUGUGAGCUUCAAGUGAUGGUGGAAGAUGUCCCUGAACAGAUUUUGCACAUUCAAGUUGGUUACAUACAGAAAAUAUGUUUGGUUUGAAAGUGAUUUCUGUGUUAAGCAGUGCUUCAUGCAUUCCUAUGCUAUUGGCAAUGGACCUUUUAUUUGCCUGUAAAAUUUCACAAAUUUGACCGCAUUUUUAAGGUCAAAGCAGGGGCGGAGCUGGGGGUGGCCAUGGCCACAAUGGAAAUAAUCACUGCCACCCCAAUCGUAAUUGCGAUCUAUUAUAAAUAAUAAUAGUUUCUUAGAUUUUGAUCAAAAGGGCCACGAUCGAUCAUGGCAAAACGAUUACGUUCGGACUGCGAAACUAUCGCGACAGUUUAAUCACUUGUCGCUUACAAGCAAAUGCGCUAUCGCGAGAGUUUCCGUAGCGCGCAUUUCUUUCCCGCAUUUGUAAAAAGUCGAGGACUGACAGAGACGAGGAGUGAAGCUUCGCUUUUGUGCCUGGUUCAACUCGUGUUUGAGCAUACAAACACAUCUUUUCAGAGCGAGCAGCAGUCGGAGGGGAAACACUUUAGCCCAGGGAACCUCUAGUUUCUGGAUCAAAACACCGCAGAGGAACGAGACCUGCGGCAGAGCAAGACCAUCCAGCGGCUGAAAGGUUGGAGUGAAGAACAGGACGCCCCCGUGAUCUUUACUGCCCAGGAAACUGUCAGUGAACGUCACAUUUCCAAGGUGCUCGAUGAACUUCCCUUUAGCAGGCUGUUCUCCUCUGGGAGACACUCGAUUAUAAACACCAGCUCCUUCUGGCCCACUCCCUGAAGACCAUUAGAGCUCAGGCACCAGCACCUCUUCCCAACAUCUACAACACAGACAUAGAGAAGGCAAAUGAACAAGCUGGACAUG